CCUACGGGCGGCAGCAGUGGGGAAUAUUGCGCAAUGGGCGAAAGCCUGACGCAGCGACGCCGCGUGAGGGAUGAAGGUCUUCGGAUCGUAAACCUCUGUCAGCAGGGAAGAACGGUCACUGUGCUAAUCAGCAGUGAAUUGACGGUACCUGCAAAGGAAGCACCGGCUAACUCCGUGCCAGCAGCCGCGGUAAUACGGAGGGUGCGAGCGUUAAUCGGAAUUACUGGGCGUAAAGCGCUCGUAGGCGGUAUGUCAAGUCAAGGGUGAAAUCCCCGCGCUCAACGUGGGAACUGCCUUUGAAACUGGGAAACUGGAGUGUGUGAGAGGAUAGUGGAAUUCCAGGUGUAGGAGUGAAAUGCGUAGAUAUCUGGAGGAACAUCAGUGGCGAAGGCGACUAUCUGGCACAUAACUGACGCUGAGGAGCGAAAGCGUGGGUAGCAAACAGGAUUAGAUACCCCAGUAGUC
This 465-nucleotide ribosomal RNA is filed under the name uncultured bacterium. Its description in RNAcentral is "partial 16S ribosomal RNA". It matches the Rfam family "Bacterial small subunit ribosomal RNA", at positions 338 to 795 of the family's 1533-position model. The record is from RNAcentral.